GGCUUAGCUGUCUCCUUUUUCUAGCCAAUGAAAUUGAUCUUUCCGUGCAGAAGCGGGAAUAACAACAUAAGACGAGAAGACCCUAUGGAGCUUUAGACACUAAGACAGAUCACGUCAAACACCCCACGUUAAUGGGCCGAACUAAGUGAGCCCUGUCCUAAUGUCUUUGGUUGGGGCGACCCUGGGGAGACAAAUAACCCCCAUGUGGAGUGGAAACACCAUAUUUCCAGAACUAAGAGCUAACCGCUCUAAGGAACAGAAUUUCUGACCAUUUUAGAUCCGGCUACUGCCGAUCAGCGGACCGAGUUA
This 309-nucleotide ribosomal RNA is filed under the name Pseudolabrus sieboldi. RNAcentral describes it as "partial 16S rRNA". The record is from RNAcentral. Lineage: Eukaryota; Metazoa; Chordata; Actinopteri; Labriformes; Labridae.